This 328-nucleotide ribosomal RNA is filed under the name uncultured eukaryote. RNAcentral describes it as "partial 18S ribosomal RNA". It matches the Rfam family "Eukaryotic small subunit ribosomal RNA", at positions 1470 to 1796 of the family's 1831-position model. The record is from RNAcentral.
CCCUUAGAUGUCCGGGGCUGCACGCGCGCUACACUGAAGGAAUCAGCGUGCUAAAACCAUUGUCGAAAGGCAUUGGUAAACCCAUUAAAAUCCUACGUGAUUGGGAUCGGGAAUUGCAAUUAUUUCCCUUGAACGAGGGAUUCCCAGUAAGUGUGGGUCAUAAGCUCGCGUUGAUUACGUCCCUGCCCUUUGUACACACCGCCCGUCGCUGCCCGGGACUGAGCCGUUUCGAGAAAAGCGGGGACUGCUGCUGUCGGGGCUUUCGGGCCUUGGCUUCGGUGGAAACCGCUUUAAUCGCAGUGGCUUGAACCGGGCAAAAGUCGUAACA